This 465-nucleotide ribosomal RNA is filed under the name uncultured bacterium. Its description in RNAcentral is "partial 16S ribosomal RNA". It matches the Rfam family "Bacterial small subunit ribosomal RNA", at positions 28 to 507 of the family's 1533-position model. The record is from RNAcentral.
GACGAACGCUGGCGGCGUGCUUAACACAUGCAAGUCGAACGGAAAGGCCCUGCUUGCAGGGUACUCGAGUGGCGAACGGGUGAGUAACACGUGGGUGAUCUGCCCUGCACUUCGGGAUAAGCCUGGGAAACUGGGUCUAAUACCGGAUAGGAGCCAUUUUUAGUGUGAUGGUUGGAAAGUUUUUUCGGUGUAGGGUGAGCUCGCGGCCUAUCAGCUUGUUGGUGGGGUAAUGGCCUACCAAGGCGGCGACGGGUAGCCGGCCUGAGAGGGUGGACGGCCACAUUGGGACUGAGAUACGGCCCAGACUCCUACGGGAGGCAGCAGUGGGGAAUAUUGCACAAUGGGCGCAAGCCUGAUGCAGCGACGCCGCGUGGGGGAUGACGGCCUUCGGGUUGUAAACUCCUUUCGCUAGGGACGAAGCUUUUUGUGACGGUACCUAGAUAAGAAGCACCGGCUAACUACGUG